Grammomys surdaster is the source of this 459-nucleotide long non-coding RNA. RefSeq lists it as uncharacterized. The transcript has 2 exons. Lineage: Eukaryota; Metazoa; Chordata; Mammalia; Rodentia; Muridae. The record is from RefSeq and is a predicted model, not a curated record.
AGGAGGAGGAGGAGGAGGAGGAGGAGAAGAAGAAGAAGAAGAAGAAGAAGAAGAAGAAGAAGAAGAAGAAGAAGUCAUUUCAAGUCUUCAAGUCCUAAAUAUUUUUGGUCUAAGGGAGAAACUCUUUUUCCUCACCUUGCAUUUUCCAGAUGUUGGAAGAUCCGUUGAAGGCUCUUGUCUAUUGACCAGAAUAUAUAGCCCUGGUUCCAGCCCACAGGAAGUCCUGAAAUACUGGACACAGCAGGGUAGGUCAGUGGAACUGAAGUGAUAGCAAAGUACCAGAAAGCUAACCAAUAAGAAUAGAAAGUUAAUUUAGGAAUUAGACCAUUGCUAUCAUAGUAAAUGAAGUGAAAAUACCAGGUAUUUUAUACGUUUAGCACUUACAAUUAAGGUGAUGUCUUAGUUAGGGUUUCUAUUGUUGUGAUGAAACACCAUGGCCAUAAAAUGCUUGGGGUUAAA